This 912-nucleotide long non-coding RNA is filed under the name Equus caballus (horse). RNAcentral describes it as "lncRNA (ENSECAG00000057631.1)". The record is from RNAcentral. Lineage: Eukaryota; Metazoa; Chordata; Mammalia; Perissodactyla; Equidae.
AACAUCCUCAAGCUGGAAGAUGGCUUGGUGAAGUCAAAAGCUACGUUUGUUUAUUCAUUUAUUGAACACAUAUUUAUUGAGUUCCCUCUAAGGGACAAACACGAUGCUUCAGGGAACUUGGGGACACUCGGACAAAGCAGACAGGUAAUCAUUGUGUUGCGAGCGCUGAGGAUGGGCAGCUGAGCUCUUGCACGGCAGGAAGGACUACAAUGUCUUUCAGUCUUCUGUCAUGGGGAUUCUCUGGGUCAGGAAUUUUUAAACUCAACAGAGUCACAAGAGGGGGAAAUGGUUGGAUGAAAUUGUUUGGUUGAUGCUAUCUGUUCUUUGUAAGAUGUAUUUGCCUUCCUGAAUGUUUUAGGACCCGUUUUACACUACCCCUAACUUUCAAUCCACCUUAUAGACAGAAUCUCCUUCCUCUUUCUGUUAUUUUCUGUGUCCCUGUUGGCUUUCUCUCUUCCACACAAGAGGUGUUGGGACUCAUGGAAACAAUCCCUUGAAUGUGGAAGACAGACAAGGUAAGAGGCUAGCAAGUCCAAAUCUUCAGGGUGGCCCAGCAGGCUGGAGACCCAGGACAGCCAACGUUCCAGUUUGAGUCCAAAGGCCGUCUGCUGGAGAACCAAGAAGAGCUGAUGUCACAGAUGAAGUCCUAGGCCAUCUGCUGAAGAAUUGCCUCUUGCCUGGAGGAGAUAUAUUGCACGUGAAAGGCCAUAGUCUCCUGAAGGAAACUGGAGACACUGGAACUGAUCUGUGGAGAUCCCGCAAUGGGCAGACUGUGGGAAACAUGCCGGAACCCUGAAACAAACCUGAACUUGAAAAAGCUUGAACUCCAUGAAGAUAGGAAUUAUGUGUGAUUCAUUUUUAUCCACAGUGUGUAGCAAUGCCUGGCAACACACACUCAAGAAAGCCCUGUCC